Long non-coding RNA from Mauremys reevesii (Reeves's turtle), 678 nucleotides. RefSeq lists it as uncharacterized. NCBI's taxonomy places the organism in Eukaryota, Metazoa, Chordata, Testudines, Geoemydidae. The record is from RefSeq and is a predicted model, not a curated record. The transcript is spliced from 6 exons.
GCUGAUCUGGUGCAUCUGGCUCAUGGGCCAGAGAUAGAUGCCUCCACUCAAAAUCUUCAGCCACAACUCAUCUCCUGGAGACAGAUACCUACACUAGAGGAUUGCGCUCCAGAGGGCACACUUCGAAAACAGGAGUAGAAAGGUUCUUCAAGAACAACAAAGAAGAUAGUUGCAGAGUAAAUGAAAGUGUAAAUGAAGAACCCAAGAGCCAAGGCACACUGGUUUAAUGCCGAAAAGAACAGUAAAGAAGCUGUUCUUUCUGGAAAAACAGUAGAACCUCUAGGAGAGAGUUUCACUUCCACAGACAGUUACAAUGGGCCCUCUUUGCUGGCUGCAGAUCCCAUUGAUCCCCCUCAAGCUCUAUCAGAAGAACUUAGAGGAAUAUGAUGUAUGUUCUCCAUUUAGCUGCCCAUUCAGCAGCCUUCCUGGACUCCAGAUCUUGCUCAGCCAUUUCUCCAGCUUUGAAUCCAUUAACCUAUAGGGUCUUUGGGGUACAAUGGAGGAGGAGGAUACUGCAAAGGACAAUUUGAAAUAGCAAGCCAUGUGCAAGCACUAACAGCUCUUGCAAAUGGUGAUUCUUCAUCAGGAAAAUCUCAGAGACCAUUCAGGAGAUGAGAGAAGUUCUGCCUCCCAAUAUUUAUGACUCUGUUGGAACUAAAGUGACAGCUGCAGCAAGCC